GACGAACGCUGGCGGCGUGCUUAACACAUGCAAGUCGAACGAUGAAGCCUAGCUUGCUAGGUGGAUUAGUGGCGAACGGGUGAGUAAUACGUGAGUAACCUACCUUUAACUCUGGGAUAAGCCUGGGAAACUGGGUCUAAUACCGGAUACGACCAAUCUCCGCAUGGGGUGUUGGUGGAAAGCGUUAUGUAGUGGUUAUAGAUGGGCUCACGGCCUAUCAGCUUGUUGGUGAGGUAACGGCUCACCAAGGCGACGACGGGUAGCCGGCCUGAGCGGGUGAGCGCCCACAGGGGGAAGAAGACACGACCCGGACGCCGACGGGGGGCGCGAGGGGGAAUUAUGGCCGAAGGGCCGAAAGCGUGAUGCCGCGGCGCGGGGGGGGGAAUGGCGCCCUUCGGUUUAAACACCUCUUGGAGCAGGAAAAAAGAGAGAUGGCGGUGCCCUGAGAAAAAGGCCCCGGCAAACUAGGUC
This 471-nucleotide ribosomal RNA is filed under the name uncultured bacterium. Its description in RNAcentral is "partial 16S ribosomal RNA". It matches the Rfam family "Bacterial small subunit ribosomal RNA", at positions 28 to 507 of the family's 1533-position model. The record is from RNAcentral.